Morus notabilis is the source of this 2564-nucleotide RNA transcript. It is a transcript of the gene named calcium-binding mitochondrial carrier protein Aralar1, with no coding region annotated. The record is from RefSeq and is a predicted model, not a curated record. The transcript has 11 exons. Lineage: Eukaryota; Viridiplantae; Streptophyta; Magnoliopsida; Rosales; Moraceae.
AUGUAUGCUCCUGUUCCCCCAUUAAAACCCCUUCUUAAACCCCCCGAUUUUCCCUCGGAUUUUCCUGGGAAAAUGAAGCGGAGGAUCUCACUAGCACUGGUUUCGCCUCUAGACCGGCUUUGCUGUUGCUAAUCUGUUCGGUGUAUUCCUUCGGAUCAGAGGAGUGGGGUCUGAGUGCUCUUGACUUAACCUGUCCAAAUUGAAAGGGAAAAUACUGGCAGUCCCUUUGACAGGUUUUCUAACGGAACUUACUGAAGAAAUGGCUGGGAGAAAUAAUAAUCUCAGAGGUGAUCAAGCUUCAAUCAAAUACAGAUGGGACCCAGUUGUGCAGUCAUCCUCUGAGCUUGGCGGUUUUGCUCAUGAGGAAUGUGGCACCCCCCUUUCUAAUAAUUUUGACAAAAAAUGUGGUAAAAGAUCUGAUCCCAAAACUCAUGAAAUAUUGAGUACGGCUGAACUCAUCUCAGCAGUGGGCCAGGUGUGGGAUUACGCAUGUCGUCCUCUUGCUUCUUUACGAAAUGAGGUAAAUUCAAGUCAUGAUGGUGGCGGUAGUAAGAAUGACGUUAUAUUGCGUAAUAUAGUUGGGGAAAGCAAUGACAUGGUACCCCAUUCAUCACCCAGGACUAACUACUUUUGUGUUGAUUUAAGGACUGCUGGUCAUGAGUCUCCAUCUAAAACCCAACCAAACUUAGAUUUUAUGGGAGUAGCCCAGAAGAUCUCAGUGUCUGAACCUUUCGGUGAAAGGUAUAGACAUUCAUCAAUUUGGAGGUUACUGCAGGGUGGGGAAAAGAUGAUUCGAGAACCUUGGAGGCAGCAGGGGCUUGCUAGUGUAGAAAUCUCGUGUGAAUUGAAAAACGCAUAUGGGUGGAUGAAACAUACGACUUUUGUUGGAUCAAAACAUCAAAUAAAAGGUAGUGAGGUUGAAAAUAGAAAUAGUGAAUAUUGCAUUCCGGUGGAUACUAUAAGCAUCGCAGGAGAUACAACUAGUCCUGCAAAUAACUUGGCUGCUAGCAAUUAUAGUUUAAUCAAGUCCGUUAAUUUGCACUCACUUAGUGAUGCAAACUUGGAGAUGAAUACAAGAUCCUCUCUGUGUACAGAUUAUUUGCUCAGGGCUUCCCCUGAGGCAGACAGUAGUAUUUCACUGUCCAGCUUUUCUAAUUUGUAUGCAGACUAUAAUAUGAACUCUCUAGUUUCCUGUAAUAGCGGACCUGAAGAAUGUUGGCAUAGCACCGAUGACAAUCAACUGCGUGACACCAAAAGCAAACAACCUGAAAAAUGGGUCAGUGAGGAUUCAUUUAAGGAGGAAGUGGUAUCUUCAUCAGCAUCUCGGAAAUCCCAUUUCACUCUUGCUAAGCAAGAGCAUGCCUUUGCAGGGGCCUUUGCUGGAAUAUUUGUUACCCUUUGUCUUCAUCCUGUUGAUACAAUUAAGACUGUCGUUCAAUCUUGCCGUGCAGAGCAGAAGUCUCUAUUCUAUAUUGGAAGAUCAAUUGUUUCUGAUAGAGGUUUAACUGGACUUUACCGUGGAAUCACUACCAACAUUGCAUCUUCUGCUCCAAUUUCUGCCAUCUACACAUUCACUUACGAAUCCAUAAAAGGAGCUUUGCUUCCUAUUUUUCCAAAAGAGUACUACUCUUUUGCCCAUUGUGUUGCAGGUGGUUGUGCAAGUGUUGCUACUUCUUUUGUUUUUACUCCUAGUGAGCAUAUAAAGCAGCAGAUGCAAGUGGGCUCUCACUAUGGUAACUGCUGGAAAGCAUUGGUUGGAAUAAUUCGAAAGGGAGGUUUGCGCUCUUUGUACGCAGGAUGGGGAGCAGUACUUUGCAGGAAUGUACCACACUCGAUUAUCAAGUUCUACACGUAUGAAAGCUUGAAGCAGUUGAUGUCAUCAUCACUACCAUCUAGUAUUCAGCCCAACACACUACAAACACUAGUUUGUGGAGGACUAGCUGGAUCCACUGCCGCUUUAUUUACAACUCCUUUUGAUGUGGUAAAGACGAGGCUGCAGACACAGAUUCCGGGAUCCACAAGCCAAUAUAGUAGUGUGGUUCAUGCCCUUUGCGAAAUAGGAAAGAAUGAAGGUGUAAAGGGCCUCUACAGGGGAUUGACUCCAAGGUUGGUUAUGUAUCUAUCUCAAGGAGCACUUUUCUUUGCAUCAUAUGAAACUUUCAAGAGAUUAAUGGCUUUGGAGACGCCACAGCCUGAAGCUGAAAGAAUCCAACACCAAGAUGACACGCAAGACGACUCGUUGAUACCGUCACCAUCUUCUGCUCCAACAAAGCUUCACAACUUGCAUUGAUAUCGGAGCUUGUGAUUCAUUGUCAUGGGAGCAUAUAGAUAUAGAGAAUCAAACCGAGAGUCUAGCGCCGUGAACGGUGGGCAGGCGUAUCAGUCAGAUUGUCAUUUGUGUUUUUAGUCGUGGCAUGGAAUAUGUAUAGGCUCAAUUCCAGAAAGUGAUAUUGUAAGCUGUUGAAGGCUUUUAGCUCAAUGAGUGAAUUGUAAAAUAUUGUUCUUUCAGACAUUGUAGCUUUGUGCAACUUCUUAUGAUCAAUAAAGUAGUAGCCCUCUAAUGU